This 59-nucleotide transfer RNA is filed under the name Ricinoides karschii. Its description in RNAcentral is "tRNA-Phe". The record is from RNAcentral. Lineage: Eukaryota; Metazoa; Arthropoda; Arachnida; Ricinulei; Ricinoididae.
GUUAUUAUAGUUUAAGGAGAAUAUUAUAUUGAAGAUAUAAGGGUGUGUUUCUGAUAAUG